UCCCCAAGUGUUACAGCUCAGUAAAAAGU
This 29-nucleotide non-coding RNA is filed under the name Mus musculus (house mouse). The record is from RNAcentral. Lineage: Eukaryota; Metazoa; Chordata; Mammalia; Rodentia; Muridae.